This 67-nucleotide small RNA is filed under the name Caenorhabditis brenneri. RNAcentral describes it as "snoRNA CBN34016". It matches the Rfam family "Nematode sRNA ceN72-3_ceN74-2". Lineage: Eukaryota; Metazoa; Nematoda; Chromadorea; Rhabditida; Rhabditidae. The record is from Rfam by way of RNAcentral.
ACUUACGGUCCGGAGUCAGUGGGUUAUCAUUGACCACUGUUCCCAUUGACACCACCUCGACCGUUUG